GGGCUGCAGUCGAGAAUCUUCCUCAAUGGACGAAAGUCUGAAGGAGCAAUGCCGCGUGAUCGAUGACGCUUUUCGGAGUGUAAAGAUCUUUUAUCAGGGACGAAUUCGUGACGGUACCUGAUGAAUAAGUCACUGCUAACUACGUGCCAGCAGCAGCGGUAAUACGUAGGUGGCGAGCGUUACCCGGAUUGAUUGGGCGUAAAGGGUCCGUAGGCGGCUCCAAAAGUUCUUGGUCAAAUCUUGAGGCUUAACUUCAAGACUGCCAAGAAUACUCUGGGGCUAGAGACCGGAAGAGGCAAGCGGAAUUGCCGGUGUAGUAGUAAAAUGCGUUGAUAUCGGUAGGAACACCAAAAGCGAAGGCAGCUUGCUAGGACGGUUCUGACGCUCAGGGACGAAAGCGUGGGUAGCGAAUGGGAUUAGAUACCCCGGUAGUC
Molecule: ribosomal RNA, 434 nt
Filed under: uncultured microorganism
Description: bacterial SSU rRNA
Rfam family: Bacterial small subunit ribosomal RNA
Source: RNAcentral